GACGAACGCUGGCGGCGUGCUUAACACAUGCAAGUCGAACGGAAAGGCCCUGCUUUUGUGGGGUGCUCGAGUGGCGAACGGGUGAGUAACACGUGAGUAACCUGCCCUUGACUUUGGGAUAACUUCAGGAAACUGGGGCUAAUACCGGAUAGGAGCUCCUGCUGCAUGGUGGGGGUUGGAAAGUUUCGGCGGUUGGGGAUGGACUCGCGGCUUAUCAGCUUGUUGGUGGGGUAGUGGCUUACCAAGGCUUUGACGGGUAGCCGGCCUGAGAGGGUGACCGGCCACAUUGGGACUGAGAGACGGCCCAGACGCCUACGGGAGGCAGCAGUGGGGAAGUUUGCAGAAUGGGCGGAAGCCUGAUGCAGCAACGCCGCGUGCGGGAUGACGGCCUUCGGGUUGUAAACCGCUUUCGCCUGUGACGAAGCGUGAGUGACGGUAAUGGGUAAAGAAGCACCGGCUAACUACGUG
Molecule: ribosomal RNA, 468 nt
Filed under: uncultured bacterium
Lineage: Bacteria
Description: partial 16S ribosomal RNA
Rfam family: Bacterial small subunit ribosomal RNA
Source: RNAcentral